UACGAAGGGUGCAAGCGUUACUCGGAAUUACUGGGCGUAAAGCGUGCGUAGGUGGUUUUUUAAGUCCGUUGUGAAAGCCCUGGGCUCAACCUGGGAAUGGCAGUGGAUACUGGAAAGCUAGAGUGCGGGAGAGGCGAGUGGAAUUGCAGGUGUAGCGGUGAAAUGCGUAGAUAUCUGCAGGAACACCCGUGGCGAAGGCGGCUCGCUGGAUCGCAACUGACGCUGAGGGACGAAAGCUAGGGGAGCAAACAGG
This 253-nucleotide ribosomal RNA is filed under the name uncultured bacterium. RNAcentral describes it as "partial 16S ribosomal RNA". It matches the Rfam family "Bacterial small subunit ribosomal RNA", at positions 524 to 776 of the family's 1533-position model. The record is from RNAcentral.